This 117-nucleotide ribosomal RNA is filed under the name uncultured bacterium. RNAcentral describes it as "partial 16S ribosomal RNA". It matches the Rfam family "Bacterial small subunit ribosomal RNA", at positions 1367 to 1482 of the family's 1533-position model. The record is from RNAcentral.
UACGUUCCGGCCUUGUACACACCGCCCGUCACGUCACGAAAGUCGGUAACGCCCGAAGCCGGUGGCCCAACCCCUUGUGGGAGGGAGCCGUCGAAGGUAGGGUCGAUGAUUGGGGUG